AUUGAACGCUGGCGGCAUGCCUUACACAUGCAAGUCGAACGGCAGCACGGGAGCAAUCCUGGUGGCGAGUGGCGAACGGGUGAGUAAUAUAUCGGAACGUGCCCAGUCGUGGGGAUAACGUAGCGAAAGCUACGCUAAUACCGCAUACGAUCUAUGGAUGAAAGCGGGGGAUCGCAAGACCUCGCGCGAUUGGAGCGGCCGAUAUCAGAUUAGGUAGUUGGUGAGGUAAAGGCUCACCAAGCCGACGAUCUGUAGCUGGUCUGAGAGGACGACCAGCCACACUGGGACUGAGACACGGCCCAGACUCCUACGGGAGGCAGCAGUGGGGAAUUUUUGGGACAAUGGGCGCAAGCCUGAUCCAGCAAUGCCGCGUGCAGG
Molecule: ribosomal RNA, 378 nt
Filed under: uncultured bacterium
Lineage: Bacteria
Description: bacterial SSU rRNA
Rfam family: Bacterial small subunit ribosomal RNA
Source: RNAcentral